RNAcentral lists this long non-coding RNA (873 nucleotides) under Fukomys damarensis (Damara mole-rat). RNAcentral's name for it is "lncRNA (ENSFDAG00000030505.1)". The record is from RNAcentral. Lineage: Eukaryota; Metazoa; Chordata; Mammalia; Rodentia; Bathyergidae.
AUCAAUGGAUUUAGAAGUGAAUAAUAAGGACAUAUAUUUUUUAGGGCCAAGAAAGAAAAACCUCCAUGACUCCAGUCUAUCUGUAUCUGCUGAAGAGGUAAGGCUAAUACACUGCUUUACGGAGGGAGCCAUUCUAUGUUAUUUUAAAAUUUCUAAUAAAUAUGUAUAUUUUGUUUUUAAGUUUGGGCACCUGUUGGAUGAAAACGUGGGAUCCAACUUUGAUAACAUUGGCGUGAAUGCCAUGGCUAACAAAGAUCAAGCAAGAGACUGUGUAUUUCCCAGAAGAGCCACACUAUGCAUUGAGUGCCAGCAUGCCUCCUCCCUCUUCUGAAUGCCAUUUUUACUCAACGUGUAGCUCACACCUCAGUUUUGCAAAGGCCAGGUUGGUUCAUUUGGUGAGUCAUGGUAGGAGUGCCUCAGACAGUGUUGGUGAAGAAACUCGGGUCUCCUCAGCAGCCUCUGCUUCUUGAUGAUGAGUUUAAUGAGCUUGUAAAAAGCCUGGACACUAGACCACUGGCUGCAGCAGCUGGCACCUACAGUCUUAUAACCACAUUUUUCAAGCUUCACAUUCUGACCCUUUGGUGGACUGUGAAAUAAUUCUGGGGGUUGUGAUAAGCACUUGAAAAUAAUGAAACAAACUGAAAUAGAUACUGUUAGAGUAUAUCGUGUGUGAUGAGGAUAAGUAAAGUUUAAUAAAACUUUUGCAUUUUGUGUGUUCAUUUGCAAUAAAAAUAUUUUCUAUAUUUUUGGGAGUUGCUGUCCAAAGAGUCUGGAAGGCAUUGCCUUGGAUUUAAAGCUGACUAAUGCAGUUUGACAGUAUAGCAAUUUGGAAUGAGGAUAUAUUUGAAAUAUUAAAGUACAGAUAGCUUUUAG